Molecule: RNA transcript, 16727 nt
Organism: Cydia pomonella (codling moth)
Lineage: Eukaryota; Metazoa; Arthropoda; Insecta; Lepidoptera; Tortricidae
Gene: Kua
Gene name: plasmanylethanolamine desaturase 1
Exons: 6
Source: RefSeq, a predicted model, not a curated record
GCAAAGGCGCCUUUUGGACCCUAUAUGACUCUGAAGGGCCCUCCACACUCGUGCGAAUCGAGGCGCGAAGCCGCGAACGCGAGUGUGGAUGGCCCUCGCGUCGAUUUCGCAGAUUGUUCACGCCUUAGCGCCUUAUUCCCCGUUUUUAGUCGAUAUUUGGGCCGCGUCAAAGGAGAAGCAAAGCGCGAACUUGCAAGACUCCACACUCGCAAUCGCUUCGCGCCGCGAUUCGCUCACGAGUCGGUUAAUCUGUUAAACUGUCAUAACCUUCUAUGGCGGCUACUUGGUUAUUGGGUGCGAACUUGAUUAACCAAAAAUCAAUUUGACAGUUCCUAGUUUGAAUCAGUGCCUUGCCGCAAACUAAAUCCGAUCAGCCGGCCAUCCGAAAUCGCUGUGAAGUUGUGCGAGUGUGGAGUCUACGUUAACGUCGCUUUAUGUUCGCUCCGCGAAGUCGCGCCGCGAUUCACGCGCAUAGUCUGGAGGGGGCCUAAGGGAAGCGUCUACUAUGACCUCGGUAGAGUCAAUAGCAUCCUAGCCAAAGUGCAAACGCUAGAAUAACAAUUUUUGACGCUAGUUCGAAUUUGGGGGUAUAUGUUUUAUUAUUGAGCGCUCAAAUAUCACCAUAAAUCUAAAGCCUGACCAGUAAUAUAUCAUCACGCGCCAUAUUGCGGAAUUUUAUUGGAACUAAAAAUUUCGUACUAAACUGAACUGUUACUCUAUACAUGAAAAUAACAGCGCCCUCUUGACAAUGAUCAUAUAUUUCUGGUCGGGCUUUAAAAGUAUUUUUUAUAUAUCAAAUAUUGUUAAAGAUGUUCUGGUAUUUUGUGAAACGGAAAAUGAUUAUAAGGCCCGACAUCAGGACUGAUUUCGGGCCCGAUAUCAGGAAGUCUGGAUGUAAUUGGCCCAUUAAGCUGCCUGGCAACCUUGCAUAUGUUGUCAAAUUCGGUAUGACAUGAUCAACUUGAUCAAGUGACACACAAUUGACCAGCCGUAUAUGAGCAAUGAGCGAUUAUAAUCUAUUUUAUUUAUCCUGAAAAUAUACUUUCCAAGCGAAGAAAAAUUUCAAAUUUAGUUUAUCGAUAGCUAAUGUAAAGUUGAAUGCAGUGUGCCUAUUGAAUAUUAUACAACGUUGUUUUUAAUGAAACGCCCUGUCUUUGAAAAUAAAUAAAGGGCUAUGACUCUCCCGCUGCCGAUACCGCCUUGCGCCAAAAGGGAUGGCCUGAGUGGACUGAGCUGCGAACAAUUCGAGUACGCUAGCACAAUGGCUACAACAUUGCUGGCACCAGUAAAAACUGAGAGAGAGAUCCUGGAGCACUCGAUGUCGGAAGAUGACCCGAACGCGAAUACGCAGCUCUCCAGUGAAGUGGGGAAGCAGCCGCGCUGGGGCCCGCGGCACCGAGGGGCGCAGGAGCUGGCUGAACUUUACAGCCCAGGCAAGAGACUACAGGAAUGGGUGUGCGUGGUGGUUUGUUGCACAUUGUGCGUGUGUGCAGGCCUCCUGAUGGCUCGGCACAUUCGUGCUGAUGUCUCCUUAUUAUUGGCAGCAAUAGCUGGUGUUCUAACAGCUGACUUUGCUUCGGGUUUUGUGCACUGGGCUGCGGACACUUGGGGAGCAGUUGACCUACCUAUUAUUGGCAAAAAUUUCCUGAGACCGUUCCGUGAGCACCACAUUGAUCCUACUUCAAUAACGCGACAUGACUUUGUGGAAACUAAUGGUGACAAUUUCGCUAUUACCAUACCCGUGCUAGGGCGGAUCGUAUGGCAGCUAUUGACGUUUGACAAUACGAGUAUCGAGAGAGAGUUCCAUUGGAUUGCGUACUGGUACUUCUGUUGUAUUUUUGUGGCAAUGACUAAUCAGAUCCACAAAUGGUCGCACACAUACUUCGGUCUGCCGUCGUGGGUGGUGGCGCUCCAAGAAUGGCACGUGGUGCUGCCGCGGCGACACCACCGCAUCCACCACGUGGCGCCGCACGAGACUUACUUCUGCAUCACCACCGGCUGGCUCAACUGGCCGCUCGAGAAGUUACGCUUCUGGUCCACUCUAGAAAUCGUGAUUGAAGCCUUGACGGGCUGCAAGCCGAGGGCAGAUGACCUGAAGUGGGCCCAAAAGCGUUCCUAAUGGGAGGAAAAGUAGGACAUUGCGUGCCGCGUGUAAAAUUGUCACCCGAGCCGAAGGCGAGGAAACACGCGGGAUUUUUCUGCUCGACGGAGGCGGAAAUGUACUUCGUUUAGCGCAGCGGGAGCAAAGUUGACGCUUUCCGCCCGGAGGGCAGAAAUAGUUAUUUGUACAACAAGAGAGCAAAGUUUGAUAUUUCUUCGAGUGCUUGUUUUGAGUCCCGUGCAAGCGAAAGAUUCUAUAAUAGAAUAUAAUAUAAUAUAAGAUUCUAGAAUCUUGAGCGUAGUAAGGGACUCAAAAGCGCACGAGAUGUAAAUAACUUUGAUCUCGUGUCGUACACAAAAAAUUUCACGUCAGUCAGCCAUCAAAAAAUACAAUCUAAAAAAAAUGUAAUCCGUCUUCAUCACAAUUUCACUCAUGUUUUCUGACGGUAUUCUCACAAUUAACUUUAAUUACCGCAAUAAAACAAAACGAAAUAAAUUUAAAUCAACUAAUACGAAAAUAAUGAAUUAACGAACAUCAAUUGACAGUUCAAUCGACAACUUUUUUUAUGUAAAAAAAACUUUGUAAGAUACGGUCCGAAUUGCGGAUACUACUAUUUGUCAACUAUAGUAGAGGUCGUUAAAAGUAGUUAAGUAGAAUUAUUUACUGCGUAACAAUUGCGUAAAUUUGUAUAACUUCAUUGUCUUGAUUGUAUAAUAAAAUACAGAAAAUAUGGUGUUUUUAUUAAACUUUUAUUUCAUUAAUUAAUUAUUACAAAUAAAGACUCGUAGGGUGUUUUGGAAAGAUGCGGUCUGACUUAUUUCGGGGGUCUAUUAUAAACCGUCAAUAUACUGUUGAAUUACUUAUGCCCUUUUUUUGUCUCUUUCUUUUUGCUAAUGACCUGAAAGGGACAAAGAUAAUAGAAUCCAAAUACUUCGAACUUGUAUUAGGCCCCGCACGCUGAAAUGACAUUCGAAUAUAAAGGUCACUUGAAUGUUAUUUUGUCUCACUCAGUGAGCAAAAUGCGAUUUUGCUCACUGUUUUUAAGCAGCAAAUUACCCUUGUUCGAGCUGCUGACGUGAAAAAUAUAUUGUCGCUCAAAAUAUAAUCAAAAAGUGUAUGCUCUGGUAGUUACGACUACAUUUAAAAAAAUCUCUCAGAAUUGUUUUACAGCACCUACGUCUAGUUUAAGUUUGCGGUUAUAUCAAAAAUUAUAUUAUGAUUUUAAAAGUUUUGGAUAAGUAUUAUGAAUAUUCCUGGGAAUGGCACAUCACUUCGCAAGGCAGCUUUAUAUCAUGAGCAAUUGAGCAUUACUUAUGUUAUUUCAGAAUUUAUUUUUUAUAAACUAAGCAUUUACAAAAGUUAUUAAGUUAUUAAGCACAUUAAUACGAAAAAGGUCUAACACAUAUAAAUUCAUAAAAACUUUAGUACCUACCUGCAGCUUAAUAUCGUACAUCAUUAAUCGAAAAAAUAUUUCAAGAGUAUGUUAAUUAGGUAAGUAGAUGCCUAAAAAUAUUUCGGGUCACAAUUUAUAUUUUACCCUAUAUUUUGGUUACGUCAUCAAACAUCGAAACAAAAUAAGAGACUGUAUUAUAAUGCCGUGAAACGUUUUGAGCGUUUUGAUAUUUCUACUUACACAAUAUUUAUGACAAUGAUACAUGUAGAGAUGAUUAAGGAUAUUGAGAUUCAUUUAAUCUAAGAAACAUAAAUUCACUACAAUAUCCGUUGAGAUCACCAAAGUGGAUCCACCAUUAUGUAUGUCAUGUUCUUUUUCAUAGUGGUGAGCUAUAAAGAAUGUUUGUAUUGUAUUGUGGAUCAUACAGUUAAUUAUUGGAGGUAUACUUCUUAUGAGUUAUGGAAAUACCUAGCUGGUAUAAUGAAGUUAUUAUGUACGUAAAAAUAAAGGCGUUGAAUCUACAUUUGAUGUCAAAGACGAUCUCCUAAAUUACUACUUUAGGUAAUUAAUAAGUUAUAAAUGAAUAGUUUCGAUUUUUGACCGGUUUAAUCAGUUAUGAUUUCCGGUCAUGUGUGAGACUUAUUUUUAAAUUAAGGAGUGCAAAUUUAAUUUUCUAAUAUUGGCCUCGUGGCUCCCAAGAACAAAUUCCCGUUUUGUAAUAGUUUCUAAUGUUAUCUCUCUUGUUUCACAUUGUUAUUUUAUGUGUUCUAAUAAAUCUGUAUAUCCGAAUGGGUGAUUCAUUUAGGCGAUCUUAGUGGAUAUCGUGAUCAUUAGUUAUUAUUCUAUUUUAAUGUGAAACGUGGAAACGGGGCUUUUACAGUAACAGGCGAUGCAUGUGUUUUCUUAUGUAUUUGAGCAAAAUAACACUUUGAAUGUGCAAUUUACUUAAAUCAUUUAAUGUUUUAAUUUGUGGUUAUUCCCAGUUGUUACCACCAGUGGUAAUAGGUGGGUUCUUUUUUCAGUAGUAUGUACCACCAACAUUUUGUUAAGAGUUCAAUACCUACGAAUAAAACAGUAUAAAUACAGAGUGCUUUAAUAAAUAAUUAUAUGUCGAAUAAAUAUUAUAAUAGUACGAAAUGAAGUAGCUAUUAGUUCUGUCGGUUUUUGACUGAUUUGUUUGUCCAUACAAAUAGUUCAAUUUACAAUUAAUGACAUCAAUUUCAUAUAAACGUUAAUUUCUCUUUAACUAUUUUAGUUUUACACUUGUACUGAUAAAACGGUAUUAAAAUUUUUGAUCAUUUUAUAAGCAGAUUACUGAAACACUAAUCUACUUAGAAUUAUUUAUUAAAGCACUCUAUAUUUAUAAUAUACUUUUUAUACUGUUUAAAAUUUUGGUGGUAACGAAUGGGAAAAAACCAGUUGUUACCACUGGUAACUAACUGGGUGGUAACAGCUUGGAAUAACCUGAAUCUGCCGAACCCUGUGUAUUAUUUUAAGUGUUCAAACUAAACGCAUCACCAAUAAUGAUUGAAACUAUGGCCUAGCUAAUUAUCAAUAACAUGUUUUUAUCAGUGAUGUGAUAUUUCACAUUAAUUAUUGAGUACAAAUGCAUUACUUUACAUCACCAUUGGUCAUGGUCCUGUAUCUGUUCUCCUGUGUUCUGUGUCCUGUAUUGUAAUUUAAAGUUUUAAUUUUAAAUAAUAGAACGAUAUACUUUAAUUUUGUACGUUUAAAUUUGUACAUAUUUUUAUCUACACAUGUAUCAUAACAUAAACCUUCUAUGAUGCGUCCAAGAACCGCAUAUUACGCCCAUCAUAAGAAAAUACACUGCUUUGUUGAAAUGUUAUGUCUGAAAACAAAGGAAUUGGAUUUGACCUUUAUUCUUAUAACAGCUUAGCUGAGAUGACGCUUUAUUAGCAGUUGGAGCCGACUUUAUACGAAUACGAAUUUAACAUUAUUUUUUUUCAUUUUUUUUUUCAAAAUUAUAGUUGUCAGGUUUUCCCCUGUACUUGUAGUAUAAGACGAUAUUACUUGCCAAAUUUUAUUUCUGGGUCAACGGAAAGUGCCCUAUAAUUUUGAUUCCCUUGAGAGUGAAUAUACGUUUUUUGUGGCAUAAACGGCCUUGCUUGUUUUUUUUUUACGUUAACUGAGAAGUUUACAUUUUUUACAAGCUUUUAUAUAGUUGCACCUGUUCCGUUAUCUGUCGGUCUGUAAUCAAAUCUCGCAAGUUAAAUUUGAUCCACUUCCCAGUUUCCGAUUGAGCUGAAAAUUUGCAAACAUAUGUUAGUCGGGUGACAAUGCAAUAUUAUGGUACCAUCGAGCUGAUCUGAUGAUGGAGACAAGAGCUGGACAUAGGAACUCUGUGAUAAAACAACGCAACCUAAUUGUGUUUAGAAUUUUUAUAAUUGCCUCGAUGAGUAUUAGUUGCCUAUGGAAAGAAAAGUACAGUCAGCGAUAAAAGAUUGUACCAAAAAUUAUAUUUUUGCCAUAAACUUAUUACAGCUUCAAGGGACUGUAGUGUAGACCUGAGUAUAUGUUUUUAAUUUCAUCUUUAUUCCUGCACGACAGCAAAGUGAUCCUAUUAGGGUUCCGUUUUUUCCUUGUAAGGUACGGAAUCCUACAUGUAUAAGUUUGUUUCUGAAUAAAAAAAUUACGGUUGCUUGAGGUGCGUGAAAAAAGUUUCCUUUUACCGCCAUUUGACGUUCAGUUAAUUUUGUCGUAAAAAAUUGUUUGUUUUGUUGUUUAAAAACUAACUAUCGCACCACUCUUGUAAAAAGAGCGAUCUAUUAUCGCUCGAUCAAUCUGAGUAUAAUUAAUCAGUAAGCGAUAUAUCAGAGACGCGACCUGAUAUUUGCAACUGCAAGCAAUUGUAUCAUGCGGUUCCUGACCACAUCAUAGAGAGCUUAUAAUAUGUUUGUAGAUAAAACGGUUUAUGUAACUGUACAUAAUUACGCACUUCGUUCGUUUCAUAAACUCACGCUCCUAUUUUAAUGCCUUUCAUUAUGUAGCAGUCAGCAGUCGGUAGCAUAACUAAUAUUAAGCGAGGCGUAGGCUAGCAAGAACUUGCAUGCAAUUUACGUUACAUUGUCGACUACUAACUAACGUAAACUGCAUUCAAAAGUUUGAUCGGAUAACGAAAUCAAAUGUAACGAAAAUCGCAUUCAAGUUCUUGCUAGUUUACACCUCGCUUUAUAAAAAACUAAUAAGUAGGUAAUUUUAUUGGCUACCAUUAUUAAAUUCUAGCCAUUGUGAGCUAAACUUGACGUCAAUUAUUGUUGAGAGCUAUUUAUUUCGCUCCGAGUGAGUACGCCAGUAGACGACCGCACGUUAUAAGGGCCGGCUAGUCGGUAAAGAUGAUCAACCAAGCUUUUAAAGGUCCCUUAUCACCCUGAACUUGGUAGGGCGCAAAUAAAACCACCGUCUACGUGGUUAAGAACUAGCAUCAUCUUGGCCCGGAAACUUUCGUUCUUAACAAAAUUUUGUUUUUUUUUUUCUGAGACCGGGCCGAGAGACUGGUAAAAAUGGCAAGGGAUCGAGCAUAAACCCAGUGUUAGAAAGAAGUGAGUCUAAAUCAACUCGUUAUUACGAGAAUAAGCGCUUAAAAAAUUUUCAAGUCCAGAGUCGUGUUCUUUAUUGAGUAUUUUUUAAGCGCAACUCAAAAAGACUUAGCUGUCCAAUUAAAGACUCCGUCAACAGUUUUAUAGGUUAUAUCUAAAUAAGUUUAAAUAACAAUAAAGAAGAUAGGCCUAAUUGUAUGAUUUGUCUAUCUUACACAUGAAUUUUGCAUGAACGCAGUUGCAUGUUUAAUAACAUUUUGUUAGUAAAUUGAGAGUUAUCUGAAAAGGACUCUACAAACUACUCGGGUCUCUAAUAAGUUAAAAAGGACUCGAGCUUCGACUUAAUUAUAAGUCUCAAAAACUUGAGUCGAGUCUUAAAGCAGAGGACUCGAAGGACUCGAGUCCAACACUAGCGCUAACUGCGAUAUAUUUAGAUAUUUGUUUUGGCAAUCAGGGUUUGAAUCGCGUUUUUAUCACACGAGUGCUUCAACCACAAAAACUAAUUAAACUAACAAUUAGUUAGAUAUUACGCGUACAAUGGCCGAUAUACCUAACUCGGGAAACGGGGCCCGCGUCAUUGGAUUUUGUCCUACAAUAUAUACCGUUGUCGCUCAAAUAGCCUUUCCUUAAAAUAAAUCGCAACUGUUCGCAAUAUAUAUAUAGGUAUAGUUAUUUUCAUACCGAGACAGAACCAUGGACAAAACCUACUGAGUUGUGGAGGCAUGCACCGCAGGCACGGGCUCGUCGAAAAGACGACUAUACGGAGUUGCAUAGGCUAUUUCAUGGGGUAGCUUGCGAAGACCAAAGAAUGUUAAAGAAUUUAGUUGUUAUUUAUUCUGUGGCAAUAGGCAUGGCUUUAAUAUUAAUAUUUCUAAUACAAUCUUAAGUUUAGAACUUUAGAUGGUAGUGGUGCCUUCAAAGCUAUGAGCUAUUGCAGACUGUAAAGGUUGAAAUAGUUAAGAGUACCUAAGUUAAGGAGGGCGGAGUAAGGAGUAAGGCAUUUCAUGUUUUAGUAGUUUGAAGUAUUGUAAACACUUUGUUAUAGUUGGCAGAAUAUUGUUUGAUACUUAUAUCGGCGAAAACCGAGCGAAUCCAUCAAAGUAGAGGUAUAUUAGUAGAUUGUGUCACAAGGGAGCUAAAUUAUAUAUUUACGGCGAGGGCGUACAUUUGAUCCUGAACGACUCGAACGAAAUCCAAAGCGUGUCAGGUAUUCAAGUGUUAAUAACGCCCAAGGUUAAUAUAAUAUUGCUACCAUGUGACACAUAACUUCUUCUUUUCACACCACCUAUGAGGAAAAUAAAAGACCGGCCACCGGCGCGCAACUCAUGUGACGUUACCCACGCCAGACAGCCCUGUCUGUAUAAACAGUCAUAGAAUUCAUAGAACAGAAAAGUUCCACUUUAAUCCCUCCUUGGAGGCAAACCAAACCUCGCAUCCGAAUGGGUGGUGUGAAUUUUUAUUUGAAUAAAUUAAAGUAUUUGUCAUUGGAAAAAGGGUGCCUAAUAUUAUAGUUUUGUUAUCAUCGCUUUUUAUGAGCUUUUAUAAGGGAAUGGGGCCUUAUUAAAUUGAGAUACUACUUUAUUAUGUAAUGUGUAACACUUUGAUACCUACAUAUAUUAAAAGAGUAACAAGAACCUUGAAUUCAAACAGCAAUGUCGCAUCCUGUACAGCUUAUUUCAUUUGUAUCAGAGCAAAAACAGAGUUGCCUAUUACGCAGGUACCUUGAUUAGGAAGAUGCAUUGUGGUAACGUGAGAGGGGUCACUUUGAAAAUCGUCAAUAGAUAUAAACUAAACCAGUACCCCUAGUGUAAAUUUUAUCGACAUCAUAACGUGACGAACGCGGUUUGCGUUAAGUCUCAUUUUGUAUAGGAUUUUGAGUUUCCAAAACGUCCCGCUUGGCGCGCUCUUUCUAAAUCCAAUACAAAAUGAGACUAAACGCAAACGCGUACGUCACGUUUCAAGAUCGAAUUUAUUUACACUAGGAGUACAGAAGCACUUGGGUAAGUAGUACUGUAACGCUUACCAAGGCAUCUUGCUUACCGUUGCUACAGCGGAAAGUGCUUCUAGUUUUAGUAGAUAUUUGCUGUUUUCAAUAUUGUCUCGUUUUCACAUCAUAUAUUAUGUACCUACAAAAAGCGCUUCUUACAUCUACACGGUCACCGGGCACUUUUUAUAGUGCCUGGCGACCGUGUAGAUGUACCUAGAUGUAAUUAACUAAGCGUUUAAGGUGAAAUCAAACGGUUCAUUUUCGUGUUUUAUUCUUCAUCUUUCACUCAAAGUGUCACGUCAGAACACAACGAAAAAUUAAGAAUGUAGGUAUUCAUUAGUGAAACGAUCCAUCAUUAUUGGAUAUUUUCAUUCUUCAUCAUUCACUCGUACUCCGAAAUAACAAAACAUGAUUCAUUCGCCGUCUUAUGAAAUAAAAUAAAAUAAGUGAACGUUUAUUUUAGCUAACCCGUGUGAACAUGGAAUGAAAGUAAAAUUAAACACUCACUCAAGAGAACGUUCAUUCGAAUGAACCGUCUGAUAUGUAUCACCUUUAACACGCUUUGCCAAUAUUCUUGACGAGAUUGUUGUUCUGAGUUAUAUGAACUCAACCAUCUACACUAAAGUUAAAGUAUUUACAACUUUAAUCGGUUUUUAAUUGUGAUACAAGUGCGAAAAAUAGGAAAUUCGCAACGAGGGUAUUUAAAUUAAAACACGACCGCAGCCACCGCAGCAGUGGCGUAGCGUGCCUUGGCGGGGCCCCGUAUAAAAAUUUGUUUGAGGGCCCUUAAGAAGGGUAAAGAUUUCUUACAAAAACGCACGUUGGGGGCCCCGUAUAAUUGAUACGGCGGUAGUUACGCCGCUGCACCACAGGGAGUGUUUCAAAUCGACACGAGUUGCGAAUUGCCUAUUCGCACAUGUAAUCGUACCUUUUACAGUAGGUACAUUCAGCGUCAAAUACUUCGUAGCAGUCAAAGAGGCCAAAUAGUUCGGUACACCAUACCAAAUAUAUGGUGUACCGAACUAUUUGGCUACUUUGACUGCUACGAAGUAUUUGACGCUGACUGUACUAUCAUAGUCAGGCUUCGGAGUAUUUUUAGCACGUUAAGAUUUAAGUGUGCUAUGGAGUCGUUGUUAACUUCAAAAUUAAAGUCAUACUCAUACGCAUCCUCAUUAAUUUAAUUCAUAAAAACUAUAAAAAAUACACCAGUAUCUUAAUUGACGAAUAACAAAUAAUAUGCAGGUAUUACAAUAACUCCACAGAACAAUCAAUAUCCACAGAACACGUAGCUACAGGAAUGAGUUUUUCAUAAUCUUCACGUUGCACACAUUCAUCAUUCCAGUUGUAAAAUGUGUAAAUAAGUGACACUUUUUCCAUGUUCUUUGGAGUGAAACAUGUUCUAUGUUGGUUAAAAAUCCACUUAUGAUUCGAAAAAGACCUUUCUACAUCGACUGAAGUUAAAGUAGCAUAUUUUAGAAGUUCCUCAAAUUGUUGUGAGCUUGCCAUUAGGGAUUGCAAAUAUUCGAAAGUUUCAGGUAUUCGAAUAUUCGAUUUUUUCUAACGAAAUAUUCGAAUAAAAUUCAAAUAAAAGAAAUAAGAAAAGAACGAGAAAUCGGUUUUAUUAUCAUUUUAUUCAAAAAACUAUUUGCACAUAUUGCAAAAACUAAUGAUAUUUUGCAGAAAUCCACUUAAUUGACUAGACUUUAUCAUCCUACUGAGAUGCCCACAUUUAUGAUAAUAAAAACGAGUCGAAACGCAAAAAUUAGACGUAUUCAAUAUUUCUAGAUAAAACUUUUAGUAUAAAUGUAUCGUUGUGUGAAUUAAUAUUAUUAUAACUAUAACCAUCCAAACACGUAAGAAAAAAACUGGAGUAGGUGAUUAUUUUCCGAUUUAAAUUUAAUAUUUACUUUUCGUCAGUCAGUUGGCUAUAAAAAAGCCUUUCCAUUGUAUUUUGAACCUAUUUCAGUCCGACACGGACAGUUGAGUGAUUUAGCAUCGAAAAAAGUGUUAGGCAAGGAUGUGUAGCGUCACCGGGGCUGUUUAAUCUACUCAUGGAGACUAGUUUGCAUUGCAUCAUUUGAGAAAUGAUGAAUGUGGGCUGAGAAUGAGUGGGUCAAAUGUCGUCUUUACGCUGAUGACCUUGUAUUGCUAGCGUCAUCGGGUGAAGAGUUGCAGGAGAUGGUAACUAAAAUGCAUGGGUCUAUUGAAAGGAAAGGAAUGAAAAGAAAUGUAUGCAAGACGAAAAUAAUGGUAUUUGGAAAGGAAGAAAAUAUGACAAACUGUGAAAUUUUGAUAGGUCAAGAAAGAGUGGAACAAGUGAAAGAGUUUGUUUAUCUGGGAACCUUGUUCACUAGGGACGGUAAGCAUGAUAACGACAUUGAAAGGAGAGUAAUUUCUGGAAAUAGUGUGAAUGGGGCACUUGACGCUUUUAUGAGCAGCCAGAAGGUGUCACAAAAAGCACGGUUGGAUGUGCAUAUAUUGGUGCCCACACUUAUGUAUGGUAGCAAAAGUUGGGUAUGGCAGAAGAGGCAUCAGAGCCAAGUGGAUGCAAUGGAAAUGAGAGUGUUGAGAAGUGUGUGUGGUGUGAGAUUACAAGAUAGAAUUAGGAACAGUGUGAUAAAGGAAACGUGUGGACUGAACGAAGAUGUAGUGACAAUAAUUUAAAAAGGUAUGUUGAGAUGGUUUCGAUACGUGGAAAUAAUGAGUGAAAGAAGCCUAGUAAAAAUAGUUUAUUUGAAAUCGAGUUAGGUUUAGCUGUAAUUUCACGAAACCUAUCGAGAGAGAAAAACAAUAAAAAUAUUAUUUCCUUCGCAUUUGGAUACCUACCGUUACCGUUCACUGUAAAAAAUACCCGGCAAAACACAUAAACGGUAAGAAUAGCGGAUGAUUGAUGUAUUUUGAGUAAUAAAAAAUAUUCGAAUAUCAAAACAGGUCGAAUAUUCGAAUUGCAAGCCCUACUUGCCAUCAUUCGUAUUUCAUGAAUAUCUGGGUUCAUUUCAAGAACUUUUUCUAAUUAAUCUUUAAUUGUCUCAGGGCCAAAACAUGUUAAAAUUGUGUAAUGUCGUCUAUUAUUUGAAACGCUUGCUUUAUUGGAAUACUAGUACACUAAUUUUAAAACAAUAACUUGAUAAAACUAAGCUAGUUUGGCAUGUUCAUAUCCAGCAAUGCGGUUUGAGCGUUUGCCAUUACGAUGGCUUCUUUUCUUGGAUAUUGAUUAUAUUUUUAUGAUGUAAAAUUUAAUUAUAUAUAUGUAAACAGUAUAACAUAUACCUAAGUAGUCAGAAUAUUUUAAAACUAUCCGGACGAAUUUAAUUAAUGAGGAUAAGUAUGAGUAUGACUUUCAUUUUAAUGUUAACAACGAGUCCAUUUAGACUCACUUUAGUCUUACCAUGCUAAAAAUACUCCGAAUCCUAGUAAUAUAGUACAGUGCGAAAAAUAGGAAAUAUGAAACGAAUGGCGAUAAAUAUAAAAUUUAUUUAAAUCGACACGAGUUGCGAAUUACCUAUUCGCACAUGUAUCGUACAACAUUUUACAGUACAUAUGGUCCUUUAAGUUUUUGACAUAGUUACGUAAUGUGCUAAUUAUCUCACUAGUGCGGUAAAGUAGCGCCAUAUGUACUGUAAUUUUUCGUUUACCUAACGUGUAGAUAUUAUCCCAGAAACAAAGUAUCAUAACUAAUACUAUAACUAAUUAUUCUCAUAUGGGUGGGACGUGCGGCAAAGCAUUUCACACCUCUCUUGUCCUUUUGUGUUCGUAAAGUACUAUUAUAACAUUUAUGACCAAUCUGUGCCAAUGAUAUUUCGUCCACUAUAUCUAUUAAAAUUUCCCACUAAGCAAUCUCGGAUAAAAUAAGCCAUAAUUUUGAUCUCUUUAUGCUAACAGACUUAGUUCAUAGAUUAUGAAGAAAAAAAACUAUGGGGCGCGCAGGAAUGGUACCUAAUUCUAUUAAUUUCACGCAGUCGUUCUUGCUGUGCUGGCAACGUGGUUCACGCGUCCGAGUUUCGAUCCGGAGGUAAUAGAGUCAGAAGGGCUGAGGCUGAGUAGUUGAGUCCGGCUAAGUGAACUUUAGACUUGACCAGAACAAAGUGUCAUUAUAAACGUCAUAUAUUUAUAGAAAUUCGACCUUCAUUAUCCCUUCAAGUGGAAUUUAACACGUGAAUCACGUAAUGAAUGGUCGGGUCGAAAAGCAGUAAAAUGGCGGCCCAUUACUCACGGGUCGAUGAGAACCAGUAAACUGACGGCCACCAGUGAGUGGUUAGUGAGGUGUUGCCGUAUUUAGAGGCAAAAUUGAACGUUUUUAAGCAUAGUUAUGCUCUUCUAGUGCCCAAAAGUAGUAGGUAGUGAGUUAGACAAGGGUAACGUACCUAACAACAGUAAGAAAAACAUUACUAUAUUAAAAACACGAAAUUUGUUGGUGAGGACCGUUCAUUCUAGUGCAGGGGUGGCCAACAGGUCGAUCGCGAUCGACCGGUCGAUCGCGACUGUUAGUCCAGUCGAUCGUGGCAAGGCAAAAAAUAUAAAUACGUAGACCAGUUUCACUUAAGGUUUCAAGAAGUAUGUAAUUGGUAGAUCGCACAGGGUUUCGUUAGUAAACAGGAGAUCUUGGGUCUAAUCAUGUUGGCCUCCUCUGUUCUAGAGCGACCACCUAGACAAUGUUCAGUCAUCAUUUUUAAGAGGUUGCUUUGUAAAAAUGAUUGUAAUUUGUAUCGUAGGUUCACUAGAAUUAAAUCGACCGGGAUAUGGACCGUGAUUACCUUUUAUAUUGUUUUCCUACUCCUCUACUGUUAUCUGUCAUUUAUGCACUCAUUAACACGAAUAUAAGAACAUACAUAAAAGGUUUCAAGAAAAGUCUAUAUUGUCUAUUCCUCAUAACAGCUCUUGUGCUUUAAUCGCUAUAACGUUACUGCGAUUAAUGGCUACCAACCUAACAAAAUCAAAACGAAUACAGUUUUAAACUAAGCAUUGCUGCCAACUUACAAAAUAUUCAUUUGGUUGCAUAGUAAAAACAAUCACUUCAUAAGUCAGAAACACGCAUGUGACACCCGUAAUAUAGCAACACCCAUAGAUUACGAAGACCGCUUAGCGUUGCUUGUUAGUCUCCGUAGGCUACGGUGGCCAAAAUCGAGGAAAAACUGUCCAAAAAUUUAAUUUAGCAAGUACCAGGGCCUCAUGAGUUACGAGAAGGUGUCGCCGACCGGCCGGCCGCGGCCCGCGGCGGGCCGGGCGCGUAACAAGGUGUGCUCGCGCGUCUUGGCUGUAUACUUUUGCUUAGUUUGCCAAAAUUAAGAUUUAUUUUUGUUGACUCGUAGGAAAAGUAUUGUAUGCAACGUUGUAUAAGUAGGUCAAAAAAUGCUCGUGGCGUAUUCCUUUACAAUGUUCGCCUACGCCUUCGGCUCCGGCUCACAUUGUAACUCACGCCACUCGCCUUUUUUGACCCUUCUUAUACAACUUCUUCUUCCUCGCGUUGUCCCGGCAUUUUGCCUCGGCUCAUGGGAGCCUGGGGUCCGCUUGACAACUAAUCCCAAGAUUUGGCGUAGGCACUAGUUUUUACGAAAGCGACUGCCAUCUGACCUUCCAGCCCAGAGGGUAAACUAGGCCUUGUUGGGAUUAGUCCGGUUUCCUCACGAUGUUUUCCUUCACCGAAAAGCGACUGGCAAAUAUCAAAUGAUAUUUCGUACAUAAGUUCCGAAAAACUCAUUGGUACGAGCCGGGGUUUGAACCCGCGACCUCCGGAUUGCAAGUCGCACGCUCUUACCACUAGGCCACCAGCGCUCCUAACUGUUGCAUAAAAUACUAUUUUGAGCUCCCGAUAUUUCGACGCACUCACAUGCACCUUGUUCACGGGUAACUGGAGAUAGCGGGUGGGUCAAAGUAUAAAAGGUAAUCAUCAGGCUUCGAAGUACUUUUAGCAUGGUAAGACUAAAGUGAGCUAUGGAGUCGUUGUUAAAAUUAAAAUGAAAGACAUACUCAUCCUCAUUUAUUAAAUGCGUUCGGAUCGUUUUAAAAUAUUCGUAUAUGUUAUAUGAAUAUUUAUAACGACCAUUAUAGGUAUAUGUUAUACUGUUUACAUAUAUGUAAUUAAAUGUUACAUUAUAAAAAUAUAAUCAAUAUCCAAGAAAAGAAGCCAUCGUAAUAGCAAACGCUCAAACCGCAUUGCUGGAUAUGAACAUGCCAAACUAGCAUAGUUUUAUUAAAGGCAAUUAUUAAGUUAUUGUUUUAAAAUUACAGUGUACUAGUAUUCCAAUAAAGCAAGCGUUUCAAAUAAUAGGCGACAUUACACUACUGAGACAAUUAAAGAUAAAUUAGAAAAAGUUCUUGAAAGGAAGCCAGAUAUUAAUGAAAUACGAAUGAUGGCAAGCUCACAACUAUUUGAGGAACUUCUAAAACAUGCAACUUUACCUUCAGUCGAUGUAGAAAGGUCUUUUUCGAAUCAUAAGUGGGUUUUUAACCAACAUAGAACAUGUUUCACUCCAAAGAACAUGGAAAGUGUCAAUUAUUUACACAUUUUACAACUGGAAUGAUGAACGUGUACACGUCAUACCACGUGAAGAUUAUGAAGAACUCAUUCCUUUAGCUACAUGUUCUAUGGAUGUAUUGUAGUACCUGCAUAUUAUUUGUUAUUCGUCAAUUAAGAUGGUGGUGUAUUUUUUUAUAGUUAUUAUUUAUUUUAUGAAUUAAAUGAAUGAGGAUGAGUAUGACUUUAAUUUUAAAGUUGACAACGACUACAUAGCACACUUUAAUCUUACCGUGCUAAAAAUACUCCGAAGCCUGGAAUCAUGGUCCAUGAAAUAGUACGCAUUACGAUACAAGUGCCAAAAAUAGGAAAUUCAAAACGAGUGGCGAUAAAUUCAAACACGACCGAAGGGAGUGUUUUAAAUCGACACGAGUUGCGAAUUACCUAUUCGCACAUGUAUCGUAAUGCACUAUUCCAACAAACUUAUGGCCUUUACAGUACACAUACACAUACAGUACAUAUGGCCCUUUAAAUGUUCGACACAGUAACGUAAUAUGCUAAUUUUCGCAGUAGCACCAUAUGUACUGUAAUAGUUAAUUACGAUACAAGUGCAGAAAAUAGGAAAUUCGCACGUGUAUCGUACGUUUUUUUACAGUACAUAGGUCUUUAAAGUUUCGACAUAUCGGAAAGUGCUCAUUUCCGAACGUGUGCGGGAAAGUAGCACCAUAUGUACUGGAAAGGUUCUUUUAAUAAUUUUAACAUAUUGCCUUAAAAUAACGCCUUUAGGGCCUACGCUAGCUGACGCGGGUGCACGGAGCGGACGAGCGGGUUAACGAAAAAUAGUAUGAGCAACGCUAACCGAAGCGGACGCGUGCGGCGGAUUUCACCUACAAAUAGCACCCGCGUGCGUGCGCACGCGGCGGGCGUCCGCAUCAGCUAGCGUAGGCCCUUACAAGGCGUAUGCCCAUUUGUUUCCCUUCCCAACUGCAACAGAGCCACAGAUGGGAGCGAUUCAUUUAUAUUUGAAGAGGAGUUUCUGCUUGUACAAUUGUACCUACCGCCCUAAAAUGAAAUGAAUGACUUUGUAAACUUCAAAUAGGUAAUUGCAACGUAGGUAACUAUACUUUUUAUGCAACCACUGAAACAAUUUGAUACUUAAAGGGUGCGCUGUGCUUAUUGUUUUUGUUUCUCGUAUUGUUACAAGACGGAAGCAGAAUACACAAUAUGUGGAAUUA